RNAcentral lists this ribosomal RNA (374 nucleotides) under uncultured bacterium. RNAcentral describes it as "bacterial SSU rRNA". It matches the Rfam family "Bacterial small subunit ribosomal RNA", at positions 29 to 404 of the family's 1533-position model. The record is from RNAcentral.
AUUGAACGCUGGCGGCAUGCCUUACACAUGCAAGUCGAACGGCAGCACGGGGGCAACCCUGGUGGCGAGUGGCGAACGGGUGAGUAAAGCAUCGGAACGUGCCCAAUAGUGGGGGAUAGCCCGGCGAAAGCCGGAUUAAUACCGCAUACGACCUGAGGGUGAAAGCGGGGGAUCGCAAGACCUCGCGCUACUGGAGCGGCCGAUGUCAGAUUAGGUAGUUGGUGGGGUAAAGGCCUACCAAGCCUGCGAUCUGUAGCUGGUCUGAGAGGACGACCAGCCACACUGGGACUGAGACACGGCCCAGACUCCUACGGGAGGCAGCAGUGGGGAAUUUUGGACAAUGGGCGAAAGCCUGAUCCAGCCAUGCCGCGUGC